CUAGCGGGUGGGGCAGACCCUGGGCUAGCAGGCCUCAGGGAGAACUCCAAUGGUGUCUGUGUCAGCACACCCACACCAGGCCACAACAAUGGCCACCGCCAAUGUCCCAGUCCCUGGAGAGGUCUCACCCCUCACCGAGAUGCACUCAGGGCCUAUUAGAAAAUGAUGUAUAAUACACAUCCUAUGAAGAAGCAAUCAAAGAGUAUGAAGACAAAAGAAAAGGAAAAGAAAGCAGUAUUGAGAACCACCAAGAGAGUGUGUGGCAGAACCCGCAUAGUUGUUUAUCAAGCACACAUCAACUUCUUCCUGCACCCAAGGCUAGACUACGUUUGUCAACCUCCU
Molecule: long non-coding RNA, 342 nt
Organism: Diceros bicornis minor
Lineage: Eukaryota; Metazoa; Chordata; Mammalia; Perissodactyla; Rhinocerotidae
Exons: 3
Source: RefSeq, a predicted model, not a curated record